This 913-nucleotide long non-coding RNA is filed under the name Panax ginseng (ginseng). Its description in RNAcentral is "long non-coding RNA (PGIN_LNC012965)". The record is from RNAcentral. Lineage: Eukaryota; Viridiplantae; Streptophyta; Magnoliopsida; Apiales; Araliaceae.
AUUAUUAUAUUAUUAUCUCUCUGUUUUUUUCUCUCUUGAAAAUCCUAAUGUCACCAAGAAACCAAAAUUCAAGAUCAUCUAAUUCCUCAUCUCCAAAUUCUAGAGAAAGUAUUGUGAAAUUAAGGCGAGGAAACAAUAUUCAAAGAAGAAGAACAAAUAGAGCAUCUCUAAUCUCAUUCUUACUCUCAUAAACUAUAAUCACUCCCGUUGAUCGAAUCCCCCAAAUCUAGUUCACUACCGCCACGGAGGUUUAUAAUAUCAGUCAUCGAGCACCCUGAACGUCCAAACCCAAUUCCUCUUCGAUCCAUUCCCCAUAUUCCGAGAAACCCCAAGGGUCAAACCCAAUUCCUCUCCGAUCCAUUCCCAACGAACUGAUCAGAGCUCUCCGGUAAUGCUGUGAUAACAGUUAGAGCUUCGGUGGUUUAAUGAAGACCUUCACGACCCGAUCCGAAUCCGUGCUCGAAACUUACUGCCGUGUUCUGGAGGAAUUCCAGUUCGACUUACAGAAAUAAACUGAGCUGCCGGACGGUGAAAGAGCUCCCUACUUCGAUCAAAGUCGGCGCAUCGAUCGACGACUUAGGGAGUGAUAAAAUCAACAACCGAUAUCAUUUCAAUUUAUUGAACUCGCUGGAAGCUUUUCCUUUCAAUAGCUUAUCUGGGUUUAUUUUUUAGAUAUGCUUUUUAUUUUUAUUUUUUGUGUUAUUUAGUUGGACGACAAUUGCUCUUUGACAGAGAUGAAAUCGGAAGAAGAUGGUUUUAAAUUGUUAAGUUAUUUCAGAUCAAAUCGGGAGAUUUUUUAGAUCUGGUUUGGGAGAUUUAACUCUCUUCAUAUCUAAUGUUUUGGGAUUUAAAAAAUAACAAUAAUUGAUGUUUGAAGUGUUUUAAUAUUUAUUUCUUUUAUAUUUAAGCAUAG